GCACCGACGGCGAGUCCCAAACAGGACGAAACAGCUGUCCAGUGC
This 45-nucleotide non-coding RNA is filed under the name Echinostoma caproni. Lineage: Eukaryota; Metazoa; Platyhelminthes; Trematoda; Plagiorchiida; Echinostomatidae. The record is from RNAcentral.